CCCUGACCAAUUAAUGUUCGUUAUUUUCCUUCAUUAAUAAAUUUCUCCAGCAGAACGACACCACACCUCGUAAAGUCCAGCAUCGUUCGCGGUCACUUAAUCGGCAACACGGGUCAUCGGGAACUAUUUAAUUGCUUUCCUAGCCAAGUUGGUCCAUUAUCUGGCACGCUUUCCCCAUAAUUUCAAGGACAAUGAGGCAAUUAACGGUGAAUAAAUAGAGCUCGCAAAAACCUUUCCUCAACACAAGAAAAACCAAUCACGGGAUAACACUACAUAUACCACCGCAAUUAAACUUUCAGAAACUUGUCACCAUGACAAUGUCUAAGCAGAUCAUCUUUUUCGCCAUGGUUCUCACGCUUUCGCUCUUCUUCACCUGCGCCACGGCCGGGCGAGCCUGCAACAACGGGGCGUCCAACUGUCUUGCCUGCGUCUGCAAUGAGUGGGACGAUACGGCUGUUUGUUGCACAGGCGAAUUUAACGGGAGCAACGGAAACUGCGAGGGCAUCCUCAAAGGAAAGAAUGGCCCCUUCAAAAAGUGCUGCGGAGGAAAGCGUGGCUUUGGAAGGUGCUGGUAGAUGCAUGACCAUGCCAACAGAAAAUGUCUGUCUUCAAUUCCAUUUCAUGUGAAUAUUUGGACGCAAAAAUUGAAAUGUGCAAAUUACCUUUGUUGCAAUGAUAUUAUAAUUUUAUGUAUCAGCUCAACACUAAUUGAUAAAAGUAUUGGUCCAACCAGUCGAAAUGAAAUAUUAUCCAAUAUUAUCCAUAAAAUAUUAUAUUAUCUUGUGACAGAAUUCUUAACCGGUUGGAUCGUCUUCUCGUCAAAUUGAUUAAAUAAAUAAAUUUCCUAAACAAGUA
Long non-coding RNA from Folsomia candida, 855 nucleotides. RefSeq lists it as uncharacterized. Lineage: Eukaryota; Metazoa; Arthropoda; Collembola; Entomobryomorpha; Isotomidae. The transcript has 2 exons. The record is from RefSeq and is a predicted model, not a curated record.